AUUGAACGCUGGCGGAAUGCUUUACACAUGCAAGUCGAACGGCAGCACGGACUUCGGUCUGGUGGCGAGUGGCGAACGGGUGAGUAAUGUAUCGGAACGUGCCCAGUCGUGGGGGAUAACGUAGUGAAAAUUACGCUAAUACCGCAUACGAUCUAUGGAUGAAAGCGGGGGAUCGCAAGACCUCGCGCGAUUGGAGCGGCCGAUAUCAGAUUAGGUAGUUGGGGGGGUAAAGGCCCACCAAGGCAACGAUCUGUAGCUGGUCUGAGAGGACGACCAGACACACUGGAACUGAGACACGGUCCAGACUCCUACGGGAGGCAGCAGUGGGGAAUUUUGGACAAUGGGCGAAAGCCUGAUCCAGCCAUUCCGCGUGCAGGAUGAAGGCCCUCGGGUUGUAAACUGCUUUUGUACAGAACGAAAAGGUUUCUACUAAUACUAGGAGCUCAUGACGGUACUGUAAGAAUAAGCACCGGCUAACUGCGUGCCAGCCGCCGCAGUAA
RNAcentral lists this ribosomal RNA (500 nucleotides) under uncultured bacterium. RNAcentral's name for it is "partial 16S ribosomal RNA". It matches the Rfam family "Bacterial small subunit ribosomal RNA", at positions 30 to 523 of the family's 1533-position model. The record is from RNAcentral.